RNAcentral lists this ribosomal RNA (222 nucleotides) under Triticum aestivum (bread wheat). RNAcentral's name for it is "partial small subunit ribosomal RNA". Lineage: Eukaryota; Viridiplantae; Streptophyta; Magnoliopsida; Poales; Poaceae. The record is from RNAcentral.
AUAUCUUUCACCAACUGUUCACCGCUUUCUUCAUACACCUGUCUUCCAUUCUCCGUGAGACCCGGAAGAGCUAGGUUGAAAUCCGUGAGCUGUGAUCUGGUAUUUUCUAGGCCAGCAGAUCCAUUUGCAUCAAAGGAAAUGUUUUCCUGAGCUUUCUCUAGUAUUUCCUUUAAAUACCUCCCUUGGGCCUCUAUUCGCAUCUGUAGCUUCUUCUGCACCUGA